Molecule: ribosomal RNA, 468 nt
Filed under: uncultured bacterium
Lineage: Bacteria
Description: partial 16S ribosomal RNA
Rfam family: Bacterial small subunit ribosomal RNA
Source: RNAcentral
GACGAACGCUGGCGGCGUGCUUAACACAUGCAAGUCGAACGGAAAGGCCCUGCUUUUGUGGGGUGCUCGAGUGGCGAAAGGGUGAGUAACACGUGAGUAACCUGCCCUUGACUUUGGGAUAACUUCAGGAAACUGGGGCUAAUACCGGAUAGGAGCUCCUGCUGCAUGGUGGGGGUUGGAAAGUUUCGGCGGUUGGGGAUGGACUCGCGGCUUAUCAGCUUGUUGGUGGGGUAGUGGCUUACCAAGGCUUUGACGGGUAGCCGGCCUGAGAGGGUGACCGACCACAUUGUGACUGAGAUACGGCCCAGACUCCUACGGGAGGCAGCAGUGGGGAAUAUUGCACAAUGGGCGGAAGCCUGAUGCAGCAACGCCGCGUGCGGGAUGACGGCCUUCGGGUUGUAAACCGCUUUCGCCUGUGACGAAGCGUGAGUGACGGUAAUGGGUAAAGAAGCACCGGCUAACUACGUG